RNAcentral lists this ribosomal RNA (258 nucleotides) under uncultured bacterium. RNAcentral's name for it is "partial 16S ribosomal RNA". It matches the Rfam family "Bacterial small subunit ribosomal RNA", at positions 524 to 776 of the family's 1533-position model. The record is from RNAcentral.
UACGUAGGGUGCAAGCGUUGUCCGGAAUUAUUGGGCGUAAAGAGCUCGUAGGCGGUCUGUCGCGUCGGCUGUGAAAACCCGGAGCUCAACUCCGGGCCUGCAGUCGAUACGGGCAAACUGGAGUACUGCAGGGGAGACUGGAAUUCCUGGUGUAGCGGUGAAAUGCGCAGAGUAUCAGGGAGGGAACACCCGGUGGCGAAGGCGGGUCUCUGGGCAGUAACUGACGCUGGAGGAGCGAAAGCGUGGGGAGCGAACAGG